Formica exsecta is the source of this 536-nucleotide long non-coding RNA. RefSeq lists it as uncharacterized. Lineage: Eukaryota; Metazoa; Arthropoda; Insecta; Hymenoptera; Formicidae. The transcript is spliced from 3 exons. The record is from RefSeq and is a predicted model, not a curated record.
UGGCAUUACUAGUCCAAACAGAUAAUCUAACCUAUUUUGUUUCUAUUCCUGCCUGUUCUGUGUAGUAAUUACAUUGUCAGCUAUAUUAUUUUCUUAGAAAUCAGUAGAUCAUCUUUUCUUUUUUCUAAAGUUUUAUAUAAAAUAUAAAAUAUAAUUAUAUAUACAUAUAAAUAUUAUUUCUAGUAAUGUAUGCAUUAGUAAAAUUUGACAAUAUGUAUUACGUACGCAAGUAGAGAAACAUUGUAAUUAUUGAGAAUAUAAAAUGUAAAAAGAAUGAUGGACUUAAUAUUAGCAAGAAUUAUAGCCAAAAAUAAUAACAAAACUUUGUUAGAGGAAAUAUUACAAAAUAUAUAUCGAAAUAUACCAUUUCCAUUGUGCAAAAGAAUUGACUUAGGAGAAAAUAACAGUAGCUAUCAAUUAAAUUACAGAAACGUUUAAUUUUAAAGAGUUGUGUUAGAUAUUAAUGAAAGGACAAGAUUAUUAAUAGAUGAGAGUAAUAAUAAUCAUAACACUAAUGUGCAGAAUAAUCCUAGAUG